GUGUGGAGAGGGUGCUUGCCCUCUCUGCAGCCCGCGUCUUAAAAUGGGAGUAGGAACAAGCGCCUCAAUCGUGGUUCUGAGGAUUAAGUGAAACUCAGAUUUCAUAAGACCCCCUUUUUAAGACCAGAGCGAAGGCAAAUGUGUAUUAUUUGGUAGCUUCUGAGCAGCAAGGAAAAACUGACUCGCAACCCCCAAAGCAAGAAGUGAAGCCGUAACCACUAGAACUCUCACAUUGACAUGUUCCUGACUAGCGAAUGUCUAGGCAUCAAACAUCUGCCUUCUUACAGCUAUGUUUUAUUAUUACGUAAACACGGCUACAAGAUUUCUGACAUAAAAUAGUAGAUGACUCAGUGUCUUCAAAUGAUUAA
Non-coding RNA from Callithrix jacchus (white-tufted-ear marmoset), 368 nucleotides. Lineage: Eukaryota; Metazoa; Chordata; Mammalia; Primates; Cebidae. The record is from RefSeq and is a predicted model, not a curated record.